AAGUCCUCAUGGCCUUUAUGUCUAGGGCUACACACGUGCUACAAUGGGUGGUACAAAGGAGCAGCUAACUCGCGAGAGUAUGCAAAUCUCAAAAAGCCAUCCUCAGUUCGGAUUGGAGUCUGCAACUCGACUCCAUGAAGUUGGAAUCGCUAGUAAUCGCGGAUCAGCAUGCCGCGGUGAAUACGUUCCCGGGCCUU
This 197-nucleotide ribosomal RNA is filed under the name uncultured Smithella sp. Its description in RNAcentral is "partial 16S ribosomal RNA". It matches the Rfam family "Bacterial small subunit ribosomal RNA", at positions 1187 to 1382 of the family's 1533-position model. Lineage: Bacteria; Pseudomonadati; Thermodesulfobacteriota; Syntrophia; Syntrophales; Smithellaceae. The record is from RNAcentral.